This 22-nucleotide microRNA is filed under the name Hydra vulgaris (swiftwater hydra). RNAcentral's name for it is "Hvu-Mir-2030_5p (mature (guide))". The record is from RNAcentral. Lineage: Eukaryota; Metazoa; Cnidaria; Hydrozoa; Anthoathecata; Hydridae.
UAGCAUAACAUUGUAAGAAACA